This 305-nucleotide ribosomal RNA is filed under the name uncultured bacterium. RNAcentral's name for it is "partial 16S ribosomal RNA". It matches the Rfam family "Bacterial small subunit ribosomal RNA", at positions 508 to 807 of the family's 1533-position model. The record is from RNAcentral.
ACAGCAGCCGCCGCGGUAAUACGUAGGUGACAAGCGUUGUCCGGAUUUAUUGGGCGUAAAGCGAGCGCAGGCGGUCAAUUAAGUCUGAUGUGAAAGCCCCCGGCUCAACCGAGGAGGGUCAUUGGAAACUGGUUGACUUGAGUGCAGAAGAGGAGAGUGGAAUUCCAUGUGUAGCGGUGAAAUGCGUAGAUAUAUGGAGGAACACCAGUGGCGAAGGCGACUCUCUGGUCUGUAACUGACGCUGAGGCUCGAAAGCGUGGGUAGCAAACAGGAUUAGAGACCCCUGUAGUCCCUGUCUCUUAUAC